Molecule: ribosomal RNA, 259 nt
Filed under: uncultured bacterium
Lineage: Bacteria
Description: partial 16S ribosomal RNA
Rfam family: Bacterial small subunit ribosomal RNA
Source: RNAcentral
UGGCGGACGGGUGAGUAACGCGUGGGUAACCUGCCUUACACAGGGGGAUAACACCUGGAAACAGGUGCUAAUACCGCAUAAGCGCACAGGGCCGCAUGGCCCGGUGUGAAAAACUCCGGUGGUGUAAGAUGGACCCGCGUCUGAUUAGCUUGUUGGCGGGGUAGAGGCCCACCAAGGCGACGAUCAGUAGCCGGCCUGAGAGGGUGGACGGCCACAUUGGGACUUGAGACACGGCCCAAACUCCUACGGAAGGCAGCAG